GAUGGUGCGACUGAGCCGGGCGACUAAUUAACCGGGCCAUGAUGGCGUUUCAAUGGUUUUGAGCCACUAAUUAACCGGGCAUGAUUAAUUGGUUCUAUAUGGCAUCUUUUGAAUUUUUGAGCUGACCCACUACAAAAAAAAAAGGAAAACUAACUACCCUUCCCACCUUCCCACUAAUCUCUCCCAUUAACCCACUAACCCACUAAAAAAAAAACUACCCACUUAUGCACUAACUAAAAAAGUCUAUAAAAGA
This 253-nucleotide long non-coding RNA is filed under the name Ananas comosus (pineapple). RNAcentral's name for it is "long non-coding RNA (ACOM_LNC044401)". The record is from RNAcentral. Lineage: Eukaryota; Viridiplantae; Streptophyta; Magnoliopsida; Poales; Bromeliaceae.